This 403-nucleotide ribosomal RNA is filed under the name uncultured bacterium. Its description in RNAcentral is "bacterial SSU rRNA". It matches the Rfam family "Bacterial small subunit ribosomal RNA", at positions 29 to 429 of the family's 1533-position model. The record is from RNAcentral.
AUUGAACGCUGGCGGCAUGCCUAACACAUGCAAGUCGAACGGCAGCACAGCAGUAGCAAUACUGUGGGUGGCGAGUGGCGGACGGGUGAGGAAUACGUCGGAAUCUGCCCAGUCGUGGGGGAUAACUAGCCGAAAGGUUAGCUAAUACCGCAUACGACCGAGAGGUGAAAGCGGGGGGACCGCAAGGCCUCGCGCGAUUGGAUGAGCCGACGUCGGAUUAGUUAGUUGGCGGGUAAAGGCCCACCAAGGCGACGAUCCGUAGCUGGUCUGAGAGGAUGAUCAGCCACACUGGAACUGAGACACGGUCCAGACUCCUACGGGAGGCAGCAGUGGGGAAUAUUGGACAAUGGGCGCAAGCCUGAUCCAGCAAUGCCGCGUGUGUGAAGAAGGCCUCGGUUGUAAG